This 87-nucleotide non-coding RNA is filed under the name bovine gut metagenome. RNAcentral's name for it is "TPP riboswitch (THI element)". It matches the Rfam family "TPP riboswitch aptamer (THI element)", at positions 7 to 92 of the family's 105-position model. From Rfam's summary of the family: Vitamin B(1) in its active form thiamin pyrophosphate (TPP) is an essential coenzyme that is synthesised by coupling of pyrimidine and thiazole moieties in bacteria. The previously detected thiamin-regulatory element, thi box was extended, resulting in a new, highly conserved RNA secondary structure, the THI element, which is widely distributed in eubacteria and also occurs in some archaea. The record is from RNAcentral.
CGCUGGGGGCGCCGAAAGGCUGAGAUGGGCGGAGACGUCCGGUCCCUUGGAACCUGAAGUGGAUAAUCCCACCGUAGGGAAGCGGAG